RNAcentral lists this long non-coding RNA (6549 nucleotides) under Sus scrofa (pig). RNAcentral's name for it is "lncRNA (ENSSSCG00030044290.1)". Lineage: Eukaryota; Metazoa; Chordata; Mammalia; Artiodactyla; Suidae. The record is from RNAcentral.
ACCAGCCUUUCCUGCAUGAAUUCUUGACAGCUUUCAAGAUCCAGAUGGGAAGAGGGCAGUGCUAUAGGAGGGGAGACCACUGGUGACAUGCCAGGCGGAUCCAAAACCAAGCAGAAGCGCUCAGAAGCACCCUUGUCAGAACACUGGGAGAGAGAGACGUUGACAGCCACCAACCGAAUGCUGAACGAAGGCGGAGGAAACUGGAAAAUGAAUGCUAUGGUGAAUGCCACCGAGUCCAUGGGGACAGUAAUGAGAAAAUGAAGAUGGAUGCUUCUUGGAGCUCAGCUAACGGCUUUGCUCUGGUUCCAUCAUCUGCCUUUAAUGAUUCUGGUUCCUCUAUGGAGAUCAUUGGUUUUCAGCAAGGUCCAGUGAAGAGGCAGAGAACUGAGUUAGCUGUGUCGUCUUAGUGGAGGAAGAACUUUGGACAGACUUCUACGCUUCCCACCCUCUGACACCUGUAGAAAAUCGUCAUUCUAGUCCAGAGAGAUAUUUUAAAGUACAGAGGACACGAGUGCACAUAAGACGUGAUCCCUCCCCUCGAGCUGCUCACCUCUAGAAGACAGAUGAAAGAGGACAAAGUUAUCGGUUUUCCCCUGGACUCCUGCAAACUCCACCUGGAAGAAGAAUCUGUUCUCCAUCUCCGAGGCAGUGGUUCUCACACAUGCUCAUUACAAGAGUCCCUCAAAGGGGCAGAGUCCCAGCUGGAAUCAGGAAAUGUGAUCACAGAAGCCAGGUCAGAGUGAUGUGCCUGUUGGCUUCAAAGACGGAGGAAAGGGGCCAUGAGCCAAAGGAUGUGAGCAGCCUCUAGAAGCUGGACAAGGCAAAGAUUCUCUGCCAGAGACUCUGAAAGGAACAGAGCUCCGCCGACAUCUGCGUUAGCCCAGUGAGACCCUUUUUGGACAUCUGGACUAGAGAAUGGAGCCGGUGCCUUCAUCUCUGUAACUAAGACCUGACACGUCCAUGGGGUCCAGCGGGAGGACAGGUGAACUGCUUUGGCUAUUGUGCGUGCUGUGGCUGGAGCCCGCUCAGCAUUCCAUUGGCACGGCGUUUAGAACCUGAGUCUCUGCAAACAUGAUUAAAGGAAAGGAGUUACUAGUUUUUCCUCUCUUCUGGCUGUUAUCUGGGAAGCUCUGAACUCAGAGGAGUUGCCGAGUGGGGGUGUCUUGCAUGAAAGAAGAUGGGAAGGAAAGAACUCCCCAUUUCACCUUCCUAAGCAGUGGAGGAAGGGGAUCAGAAACAGCAAGUGCUGAUGAAAACUCCACUUCCAAAUACAUUCCAUGGCUUAUUUGUGGAGGGAAAUGCUUUUUACCUUUUGAACUUUCAGAUACCUGGCAAAAGCAAAUGGGUCCUCAGGGGGACAGAGAGGUGUAAAUGGAAGCUCCUGUAAACGACUGUUGGCUUUCCCCCCAGGUUCUCUGGAUCCAGCAGCCCAAACUAAGACAAGAGGGAAUGAUGAUGCAACCAGGGUCCAAAUGGCACAUGCUGCAGACCUGCUGGUUGGCCUCCAGUCCCAGAUACUCCUGCCAUUAUUAGUAUGUGAAUCUUAUUUUACGACACAUUCUUUUCUAAGAGUCUUUUUUAUUCAAUUUUUUAUUAGGAAAGACAUUCACAUAACAUACACAUUUUUACGUGUCCCAGCCAUUUUAUUCCCAUCUUGUGAGAAUUUUUGCGUGUCUUGAAUCUGGAUUCUUAAUGUAAAUAUAAGUAAAUACAUAGUCUAUAUCAGGCUCUAAUGUUUUCUCUUUCUCAACUGGGAACAUGCUAUACACACUAUGUAGAACCUAAGUUUUUCUGUUAAUAAUAUUUCUUGGAGAGAUUUCUAUGUCAGGACACAAAGAGCCUUCUUGUUCUUUUUUCACAGCUUAAUAGUAUUCCAUGUAGGUUAUCUAAAAUCUUUUGCUACAUAAGCACUGCUUAAAGGAAUGGCCUUAUGUCUGUGCCAUUUUACACAUCAGGGUGAGCAUAUGCAUAGGGUAACUAUUUUAGAAGUAGAAUUGCUGAGUUAACAUGUGUGUGCAUUUAUAAUUUUGACAGAGUUUGCCAAAUUGCUUCCUUAGAAGUGGUAAUUAUUUAUAUGCCCCCUAGCACUUUAUGCAAGUGCCUGCUCACCCACAGUCUUGCCAGUACAGUUGGAUCUGAUAUGUGGAAAAUGUUAUCUGAAUCUAGUUUCACUUUGUAUUUAUUUUACUGAGUGAGUUUGAGCAUCUUUUCCCAUUUAGAAGCCAUUUUAGUUGCAUUUCCCUGAAGUUUCAAUUUAUAUAUUUUGCUUCUUUUUUUUUUUUUUUACCUUUUAGGGCUGCACCUGCAGCCUAUGGAGGUUCCCAGGCUAGGGGUGGGAUGAGAGCUGUAGCCUCCAGCCUAAGGCCACAGCAACAGCAACGUUAGAUCGAGCUGUGUCUGUAACCUACACCACAGCUCACAGCAACACCGGAUUCUUAACCCACUGAGCAAGGCCAGGGAUCACACCUGUGUCCUCAUGGUACUGGUCAGGUUGUUUCCACUGAGCCAUGACAGGAACUCCAUAUUUUGCAAUUUUUAAACUAAAUUAUUGAUUGUCUUCUUGAUGAUUUGCAGAAGCUUUUUCUAUAUUAAAGAAAUUAGUCCUUUGAGAAAUGUUUCAAACAUUUUUCUAUCUCUCUCUCUUUUUUUUUUUUUUUGUCUUUUUGCCUUUUCUGGGGCCGCUCCCACUGCUUAUGGAGGUUCCCAGGCUAGGGAUUGAAUCGGAGCUACAGCUGCCAGCCUACACCACAGCUCACAGCAACACUGGAUCCUUAACCCACUGAGCAAGGCCAGGGAUCGAACCUGCAACCUCAUGGUUCCUAGUUGGAUUCAUUAACCACUGAGCCACGAUGGGAUCUCCUCAAACAUUUAACUCUAUUUUCAUCUUUCCUCUGACUUUACCUAUGGCAUUUUUCUAUUUUUUUCUCCUUUUUCUUUUUUUAUGUAGUCACAUCUAUCAAUCUUUUUUUUAAAAGCUUCUGUGUUUUGUGUCACAACCACUCCAUAUGUGUACAUCACACCAUUUAUCAACCAGUUGCCUUUCCUACAACUANAAAGCCAGAACUACUGCAGAGCACAAGGAACUAUAUCCAGUCUCCUGGGAUAGACCAUUAUGGAGGGGGGGAAAUAUAUAUAUAUAUAUGAAAUUUUAAAAAACUUAAAAAUAAGCAGCAGUAGUUUUUCUUGUUUUGUCUGUUGAUGAUCCGUGGGUGCCUUCUCUAAUUCCAUUUUUGGCUGGAUCACUGGCCAGGUCAAAAAAGAAAAAGAGGGAGAAAAGAGGGGGAAAAAAACGCAAGCAAGAAGAAAGCAAGCCUACCUUGCCCUCUGAAGGUGUGGUGUGAACAAAUGAAUCAGGCAGAUUUGGAGAAGGGGAGGCAGCCAGGGUCUAUGGCCAGGGCUCCCCUCACCUAGGCAACAGUUGGUAGGCAGCCUUUGUGGCAGUGGCUAAAAUCUCUUCCAGGGCUUGGCUGGGACAGUAUCUGCUGAAUAACUAGGCCAGUCCUAGAGCCAAGAUCCACAGCUCAGCUGCCGUUGCUGCUGCUGAAGAAGGCUCAAAACUCAUUUUUUGCUGAGUCAAAUCUCUCUUCGGGGAUUUGGAAAACAAAUGAGGCUCUGAAAAGUGGAAAUUCUUCUGGAUCAUUCUUUGGGAAACAAUGCAGUGAGUCUCUUUGUUAUUUAUUUUUUCUUAAAUAAUAAAUUCAGUCAAAGGUAAAGACCCCACUUUCCUGAGGGAUCUGGGACCAACUUACCCUGGAAGAAAUUUCUCUACUUGUCGGCAAAAACAACAGGACCGGAGAAAUGCACGAUUGAGGAAAAGAAGAACACAGAGAAAGAAAAGCUAUAUGUUUGAAUAUGAAAGACAGAUGCAGACAGUUUUCCAUGCCAGCUAGUCUGCUGUGUAUAAAUAGGAGGAGCUCAAGGUAAACUACCAAGAAAAUGACUCAUCUGGGCAAGAAUAAGGAAAGAGAUCAAGUGUUCCUGAGUUAUUAGUGACUUGAAACUACACCCUUGUGCAGAGAAGCUUCAAAGCUGCAUUCUCUAAAAUGUGACCUCUGGUGAAAGCGUGACCCCAGCCAUGACGCUACGUAACCAGAGCCAGGCCAUCCCAGGGAACGUUAAUAUGUCUAGCCCACAUACAUUUUUCAAGUUUUUUUUUUUUUAAAGAUGAAGAAAACAACCUUAAGCCUUUCCUAAAGUGCUCUAACGAAAUUAUGCCUUAUUUGAAAAAGUUAAUUCUCCUCUCUGCCACCUCACCACUAACUCAGCAAAAAUUUGAUUCCUAGUAUGUGGGAAGCACCGUAAUAGGCUGUCAGAGGGAAUUCAAAGAGGUAUGAGGAAGGAACUGGGGGGAAUGGGAAUAACGUAUACACAUUAUUCUGUAAAAUAGAUGAUUACCCAGAGCCUACUGUAUAGCACGGGGACAUCGACUCAAUAGUUUGUAAUAACCCACAUGGAAAAAAGAACGGAUAUACUUUAUAUGUAAGACUGAUUCACUUUGCUGUACACCUGAAACCAGUACAUUGUAAGUCAACUAUCCUCCAAUAAAACUUAAAAACAAAAGAGAUAUGAGGAAGGGUUCCCUUCCUCCAAAUAUUUAUAACGUAAAAGGCAUGUGUAGGACCUGACGAAGAUGAAGACAAAGAUGAGAAGAAGGAGGGGGAGGGAGGAGAAGAAGAGAAAAAAGAGGAGGAACUACCGUGUGUUCCAGCAAUCCCACUCCUGGCACGUAACUGGAGAAAAGCAUAAUUCAAAAAGAUGUUCAUUGUAGCAGCAUGUCCAAUAGCCAAGACGUGGAAACAACCUGCAUAUCCAUCGACAGAGGAAUGGAUAAAGAUGGUGAGGUACAGAUCUACAGUGCAAUAUUACUCAGCCAUAAAAAAAGAGUGAAAUAAUGCCCUCUGCAGCAACAUGGAUGCACCUAGAUGUUAUAAGUGAGGUUAGGCAGACAGUGAAAGACAGAUAAUAUGAUAUCACUUAUAAGUGGAAUCUAAAAAAAAAAAGAAUACAAUGAACUCAUUUGCAGAAUAGAAACAGACUCACAGACUUUGAAAAAUUUAUGGUUACCAAAGGGCCAGGUGGGGGAAGGAGGGAUGGACCGGGGGUGUGGGAUUGGCAGGUGCACACGGAGGUAUAUGGAUGAUUAGCCAGUGAGGACCUGCUGUACAGCACAGGGAACUCUAAUCAAUAUUCUGUGAUAACCUAGGUGGGGAAAGAAUCUGAGAGAGAAUGGAUGUGUGUUUAUGUAUAACUGAAUCACUUGGGUGUACAGCAGAAAUUAUCACAACCUUGUACAUCAAAAACUAUACUUCAAUAAAACUUUCUAAAAAAUGGAAAAAGUAUAAAGUAAAAUUAAAUAUAUAUAUAACUCCCCCCCCCAAAAAAAAGAGAUUAAGAGUAGGAGGAAAAAUAGGAGCUAUCAAAAGUUCUAGCACUUAUCACUAAGAGAUGAUGCAACUACAUUGUAUUGAAACAUAAUUACACUUCAUGAAACUCAAGGUCAAAACUAAAAUCAAGGCAUAUUUUACAGGCACCAACAGAGACCCUGGAUCAAACUGGCUCGUAGGCACAUGGCAUUUGUUUACAAAGGAUCCCAUUUAAGAAGAUCCCAUUCUUUUCUUCUCAUCUUCGAUUCUUAUUAAUGCCAUGGAUACCAUGAGUCAUGAUGAUUUACAACCUAAACAAUUUGGUUCUGAUUUUAAUAUAUGUCUCCAGAGUUGUCUCUUUUCUGGAUAUGUCACUUGUGGCUAGACAUUUGAUACUAUGCAUUAACUCGACUACAGGGUUUCUGCUUACUUAUAGCAAAUAGUGCCUCAGGCUUUUAUUUCCUGCAUAGAUCGUUUUCUUAUGGCUUCUGAUGCCUCGUGCCUUCUAUUUAUUCCCUGUUCCCUAAGGUUCUCUUGGUUUCCCCACGACUCUGCUGUCUACUGACUUCCUCUCAUAACAAACUUCUCAAGAAGGAUUGGCUCCGCCAUUUCCUUAACAGUAAAGAAGAGAUAUAUUCGGGGAUCAGGGGCCACCAGCCAAAAUAUACAUUGCUACCUUUGUAUCCGGUGCUUCUGUGGCCACAUCAUCUAAUCGCCGAUGAUCAGAACAGUGAACACAUGUGGUGAGAAGAAUUUCAGCAGAGGCGGAAGGCACCACCAGCAGCUUUCUGAAACGGAGCUAUGAGCACGAUGAAUUUAGAGACGAAAGGGACCUCCCUGCUUGGAGAAUUUUCCUAAGAAACAGUGGACUGUUCGCUCACGGGGCUCCAUGUGCUCUAAGUGUAGUUAUAGACCUCUUUCCUAUGUCAUGUCCCCUACUGGGAUGAAGUGUUAUUUUGACUUACUUGUCGAAUGCUGUGGCUUUAAGAGGGGUUGUGAUGUCAGUCCAUCCACUCUUACAGCUGAGUCAUCAGACAUUUACGGACCCAGUGAACCUACUUGGUCACAUCUGGGAGUAAACCUAGAAUCUGUGGAUUCCCUUUACAGUGGCUUUCCACUGUCCAGUCUCUCUACUGUAUGUGAUCUUAAGGUAGCAAUUCAAAUAAAGUGCAGUGUAGUUUUCUUU